AUUGAACGCUGGCGGCAGGCCUAACACAUGCAAGUCGAGCGGUUGAGGUAGCUUGCUACCGAUGCAGCGGCGAACGGGUGAGUAAUACAUGGGAAUCUGCCUGGUAGUGGGGGACAACGUCUCGAAAGGGCCGCUAAUACCGCAUACGCCCUACGGGGGAAAGGGGGGAUCGUCGGACCUCUCACUAUCAGAUGAGCCCAAGUCAGAUUAGCUAGUUGGUGGGGUAAAGGCUCACCAAGGCGACGAUCUGUAACUGGUCUGAGAGGAUGUUCAGUCACACUGGAACUGAGACACGGUCCAGACUCCUACGGGAGGCAGCAGUGGGGAAUAUUGGACAAUGGGCGCAAGCCUGAUCCAGCCAUGCCGCGUGUGUGAAGAAGGCCUUAGGGUUGUAAAGCACUUUCAGUGGGGAGAAAGGUAAUUCACCUAAUACAUGAGUUAAUUGAUGUUACCCACAGAAGAAGCACCGGCUAACUCCGUGCCAGCCGCCGCAGUAA
RNAcentral lists this ribosomal RNA (497 nucleotides) under uncultured bacterium. Its description in RNAcentral is "partial 16S ribosomal RNA". It matches the Rfam family "Bacterial small subunit ribosomal RNA", at positions 30 to 523 of the family's 1533-position model. The record is from RNAcentral.